RNAcentral lists this ribosomal RNA (253 nucleotides) under uncultured bacterium. Its description in RNAcentral is "partial 16S ribosomal RNA". It matches the Rfam family "Bacterial small subunit ribosomal RNA", at positions 524 to 776 of the family's 1533-position model. The record is from RNAcentral.
UACAGAGGGUGCGAGCGUUAAUCGGAAUUACUGGGCGUAAAGCGCGCGUAGGCGGCUUUGCAAGUCGGGUGUGAAAUCCCCAGGCUUAACCUGGGAACUGCAUUCGAGACUGCAUUGCUAGAGUAUGGGAGAGGGAAGUGGAAUUCUCGGUGUAGCAGUGAAAUGCGUAGAUAUCGAGAGGAACACCAGUGGCGAAGGCGAGUCCCUGGACAACUUCUGACGCUGAGGCACGAAAGCUAGGGGAGCAAACAGG